Molecule: long non-coding RNA, 1045 nt
Organism: Rosa chinensis
Lineage: Eukaryota; Viridiplantae; Streptophyta; Magnoliopsida; Rosales; Rosaceae
Exons: 3
Source: RefSeq, a predicted model, not a curated record
GAAUAUCCAAGGGGGAGUGUUGUAAAUGAUAAUGACUAUUCAUGCAAUAGCUCAUGUUUCGCUUCAUUCGCAUGCUUCGUCUAUUCCAGUGCUCAAUGGACUGAAUUUCUCAGAAUGGUGUGAAUAAAUUCAGUUUCACUUAGGUGUUCUGGAUCUGGAUUCGGCACUCCAAACAGAGAAACGUGCUGCUCUAACUAAUUAAAACACUGAUGAUGAAGAAAAGGCUUUCCAUAAGGCUUGGGAAAAGUCGAAUAGACUGAGCAUUAUGCUGAUGCGAAUGACUAUAGCAAACAACAUAAAGACUUCACUUCCAAAAGCUGAAAUUGCUAAGGAAUUCUUGAAGAACAUUGAGGAUUGUUUCAAGAGUGCUGACAAGUCUCUUGCAGGGACAUUAAUGGCUGAACUUACCACCAAGAAAUUUGAUGGUAGGAGAAGCAUGCAUGAGCAUGUUCUUGAAAUGACUAAUCUGGUAGCAAAGUUGAAAGUCUUGGGAAUGAAUGUGGAUGAGUUCUUUCUUGUUCAAUUUAUUUUGAACUCCUUGCCUCCUCAGUAUGAAGCAUUUCAGAUUAACUAUAACACUAUUAAGGAUAAGUGGAAUGUUAAUGAAUUGUCCAGUAUGCUUGUUCAAGAGGAAGGAAGGCUUAAGCAACAAGAAAAAAUUCCAUUUAUCUUGUAGGUCAGGGAGCUAAAAGAAAAUUUGGAAGAAAACCUGGAAAGGGUGCUAAGAAAUGACCACCAAAGAACAAUGGACCUGCUGAUGCUGCUCAGGCUCCUAAUAAGGGACUGAAGGACAAAUGUCAUUUCUGUAGAAAGGAUGGACAUUAUCAGUAUGAUUGCCCAAAACGUAAGGCAUGGUUCGAAAAGAAAGGGAUUCCUUACAAUCCAAAGCCUAAAUCCAAAUGAAAAUUUUAUCUAUAUGGGAAUCGGGUGAGAACACCAGUUGAAGCCAUUGGAACUUUUCGUUUGAUUUUAGAUACCGGCCAUUAUUUAGAUUUGUUUCAAAAUCUUUAUGUUCCACUUGUUCUCGGAAUUUAAAGUUCUGUUU